GGGAUAACAUUUGGAAACAGAUGCUAAUACCGCAUAAGAUUACAGUACCGCAUGAUACAGUGAUCAAAGGAGCAAUCCGCUGAAAGAUGGGCUCGCGUCCGAUUAGAUAGUUGGUGAGGUAACGGCUCACCAAGUCGACGAUCGGUAGCCGGACUGAGAGGUUGAACGGCCACAUUGGGACUGAGACACGGCCCAGACUCCUACGGGAGGCAGCAGUGGGGAAUAUUGCACAAUGGGCGAAAGCCUGAUGCAGCAACGCCGCGUGAGGGAAGACGGUUUUCGGAUUGUAAACCUCUGUUUUCGGUGACGAACAAAUGACGGUAACCGAGUAGGAAGCCACGGCUAACUACGUGCCAGCAGCCGCGGUAAUACGUAGGUGGCAAGCGUUAUCCGGAAUUACUGGGUGUAAAGGGAGCGCAGGCGGGAUAGCAAGUCAGCUGUGAAAACUAUGGGCUCAACCCAUAAACUGCAGUUGAAACUGUUAUUCUUGAGUGGAGUAGAGGCAAGCGGAAUUCCGAGUGUAGCGGUGAAAUGCGUAGAUAUUCGGAGGAACACCAGUGGCGAAGGCGGCUUGCUGGGCUCUAACUGACGCUGAGGCUCGAAAGUGUGGGGAGCAAACAGGAUUAGAUACCCUGGUAGUCCACACUGUAA
Molecule: ribosomal RNA, 651 nt
Filed under: uncultured bacterium
Lineage: Bacteria
Description: bacterial SSU rRNA
Rfam family: Bacterial small subunit ribosomal RNA
Source: RNAcentral